AGUGGCAGACGGGUGAGUAACGCGUGGGAAUCUACCUGAUACUACGGAACAACUGAGGGAAACUUCAGCUAAUACCGUAUACGCCCCAAGGGGGAAAGAUUUAUCGGUAUCAGAUGAGCCCGCGUUGGAUUAGCCAGUUGGUGGGGUAAUGGCCUACCAAGGCGACGAUCCAUAGCUGGUCUGAGAGGAUGAUCAGCCACACUGGGACUGAGACACGGCCCAGACUCCUACGGGAGGCAGCAGUGGGGAAUAUUGGACAAUGGGCGAAAGCCUGAUCCAGCCAUGCCGCGUGAGUGAUGAAGGCCUUAGGGUUGUAAAGCUCUUUCAGUGGGGACGAUAAUGACGGUACCCACAGAAGAAGCCCCGGCUAACAUCGUGCCAGCAGCCGCGGUAAUACGAAGGGGGCUAGCGUUGUUCGGAUUUACUGGGUGUAAAGCGCACGUAGGCGGAUCGUUAAGUGAGGGGUGAAAUCCCAGGGCUCAACCCUGGA
This 490-nucleotide ribosomal RNA is filed under the name uncultured Hyphomicrobiales bacterium. Its description in RNAcentral is "bacterial SSU rRNA". It matches the Rfam family "Bacterial small subunit ribosomal RNA", at positions 94 to 619 of the family's 1533-position model. The record is from RNAcentral. Lineage: Bacteria; Pseudomonadati; Pseudomonadota; Alphaproteobacteria; Hyphomicrobiales.